GAAGCAUAUAAUCGAAACUUCAGA
RNAcentral lists this non-coding RNA (24 nucleotides) under Arabidopsis thaliana (thale cress). The record is from RNAcentral. Lineage: Eukaryota; Viridiplantae; Streptophyta; Magnoliopsida; Brassicales; Brassicaceae.